This 496-nucleotide ribosomal RNA is filed under the name uncultured bacterium. RNAcentral describes it as "partial 16S ribosomal RNA". It matches the Rfam family "Bacterial small subunit ribosomal RNA", at positions 29 to 507 of the family's 1533-position model. The record is from RNAcentral.
AUGAACGCUGGCGGCGUGCCUAAUACCUGCAAGUCGAGCGAACAGAUGAGGAGCUUGCUCCUCUGACGUUAGCGGCGGACGGGUGAGUAACACGUGGAUAACCUACCUAUAAGACUGGGAUAACUUCGGGAAACCGGAGCUAAUACCGGAUAAUAUAUUUAACCGCAUGGUUCAAUAGUGAAAGACGGUUUUGCUGUCACUUAUAGAUGGAUCCGCGCCGCAUUAGCUAGUUGGUAAGGUAACGGCUUACCAAGGCAACGAUGCGUAGCCGACCUGAGAGGGUGAUCGGCCACACUGGAACUGAGACACGGUCCAGACUCCUACGGGAGGCAGCAGUAGGGAAUCUUCCGCAAUGGGCGAAAGCCUGACGGAGCAACGCCGCGUGAGUGAUGAAGGUCUUCGGAUCGUAAAACUCUGUUAUUAGGGAAGAACAAAUGUGUAAGUAACUAUGCACGUCUUGACGGUACCUAAUCAGAAAGCCACGGCUAACUACGUG